Molecule: ribosomal RNA, 392 nt
Filed under: Chlamydomonas sp. MACC 584
Lineage: Eukaryota; Viridiplantae; Chlorophyta; Chlorophyceae; Chlamydomonadales; Chlamydomonadaceae
Description: SSU rRNA
Rfam family: Eukaryotic small subunit ribosomal RNA
Source: RNAcentral
GACAAGGUGCUGCAGUUAAAGCUCGUAGUUGGAUUUCGGGUGGGGUGGUGCGGUCCGCCUCUGGUGUGCACUGCUCUGCUCCACCUUCCUGCCGGGGACGGGCUCCUGGGCUUCACUGUCUGGGACUCGGAGUCGGCGAGGUUACUUUGAGUAAAUUAGAGUGUUCAAAGCAGGCCUACGCUCUGAAUACAUUAGCAUGGAAUAACACGAUAGGACUCUGGCCUAUCUGUUGGUCUGUGGGACCGGAGUAAUGAUUAAGAGGGGUAGUCGGGGGCAUUCGUAUUCCGUUGUCAGAGGUGAAAUUCUUGGAUUUACGGAAGACGAACAUCUGCGAAAGCAUUUGCCAAGGAUACUUUCAUUGAUCAAGAACGAAAGUUGGGGGCUCGAAGAAA